RNAcentral lists this non-coding RNA (171 nucleotides) under Clostridiales bacterium. RNAcentral describes it as "FMN sequence". It matches the Rfam family "FMN riboswitch aptamer (RFN element)". Rfam says of the family: The RFN element is a highly conserved domain that is found frequently in the 5'-untranslated regions of prokaryotic mRNAs that encode for flavin mononucleotide (FMN) biosynthesis and transport proteins. Lineage: Bacteria; Bacillati; Bacillota; Clostridia; Eubacteriales. The record is from RNAcentral.
UAUUUUGAACGGGGCAGGGUGUAAAUCCCUACCGGCGGUAUAGCCCGCGAACCUUUUAACAUUAAACAUAGUUUUAUGCUUGGAAGGCCGAUCAGGUGAAAUUCCUGAGUCGACGGUGAUGAUUAAUUGUCGUUAUGAUAAUUGUUAAAGUCCGGAUGGUAGUUCAUUGAU